GUGCCUGUAGCUCAACUGGCAGAGCACUUGACUGUGGAUCAAGUGGUUGUGGGUUCAAAUCCCAUCAGGCACCCA
Molecule: transfer RNA, 75 nt
Filed under: Anaerolineales bacterium
Lineage: Bacteria; Bacillati; Chloroflexota; Anaerolineae; Anaerolineales
Description: tRNA-His
Rfam family: tRNA
About the family: Transfer RNA (tRNA) molecules are approximately 80 nucleotides in length. Their secondary structure includes four short double-helical elements and three loops (D, anti-codon, and T loops). Further hydrogen bonds mediate the characteristic L-shaped molecular structure. tRNAs have two regions of fundamental functional importance: the anti-codon, which is responsible for specific mRNA codon recognition, and the 3' end, to which the tRNAs corresponding amino acid is attached (by aminoacyl-tRNA synthetases). tRNAs cope with the degeneracy of the genetic code in two manners: having more than one tRNA (with a specific anti-codon) for a particular amino acid; and 'wobble' base-pairing, i.e. permitting non-standard base-pairing at the 3rd anti-codon position.
Source: RNAcentral